CAUCACCCGAGUCUUCUGACUUCUUUUUCCACUUGCCUACUUACUAAGGCUCGGAGAGGUUAAGACAAUCGUCUAGAGUCACACAGCGGGGGUGGAAAGAUGGGCGGCGACCUCAGUCAACCGGUGGAGUGGGAUGGAGGGGACAGGAUCGGUUUCCGGGCAGGAGCUGUGUUGCAGCGGUGCCUGUUGCAUGUGGAAGUCUCCCUUCAAGGUUUGCAUCAUGGAACUCACCUGGCCCAACCUCUCAGGGAGGAAAAUUCCAACCAGAGAGGGACGUCCAGGCCAGGGCUCUACUCCGGACAGAGACCCCGUCCCUGCAAGGGACAGCCAGUCAGCCCUGUCCAGCCCCGUCCAGCCCUGUCCAGCCCUGUGCAGCCAGUCCAGCCAUUCUGACUGCAGCGUUGAAACCUCUUAUCCACGUGUGGUGGGAGCCCCCUGCUGACCAGAGUGAGGAGUGGCAGAAUGGCAGGAAGGUGAGCAGACAUGCCCUGGAGAGACUCAGGGGGCCAGUGAGUCAGAGCCCAGCUCUCCAUGCUCCUGGCUUGUGAUGUGGCCUCUCCAGGUACUCCUGCAUCUCCUGGAGGCACCAACGUUCUCAUAGCUCUCUAGGCCUCUGGACAUUUGCACCUGCUGAUGCUGAGACCCAGAGGGCCUUUUAUCAGUUAACUUCAGGUGAACUAGCAGUUAUUGUGCACCUAUUGUGUGCUGGGCACUCUGAGUAUGUGCAAGGUCUGGCCCACAAGGAGCUCACAGUUCAGUGUGGGGCAGACAUGAAGUGAGCUCACUGCAUUAUCAGGUGCGUGUCCUGUCCCCAGCCUGGCUGCCAAUACUUGAGCACCCUCCUCAGAGAAGCCUCCCCGGAUUGCCCUCUGCCCAGCCCAGCCCAGCCCAGCCCUCCACUGCCUGCUCUGCGUCCUCUGGAACAGCGUGUGUUCAGUACUGCAGGGAUGUGAGCCCCAUGCAGGCAGGGAUUCGGCCUUGUUGUACCAGUGUCUGGGACAGUGCCUGGCACAACGUAGGUGCUCCAUAAACAUUUGUGGGA
RNAcentral lists this long non-coding RNA (1042 nucleotides) under Homo sapiens (human). Its description in RNAcentral is "long non-coding RNA NONHSAT192900.1". Lineage: Eukaryota; Metazoa; Chordata; Mammalia; Primates; Hominidae. The record is from RNAcentral.